UCGGUUAGCUCUUUUUAAUUUCUAGUUACUUAGUGCGACAUGUCCUUUUGAUGGUAGAGCCACCUUCUCACUUUCGGGUGGCAGAGCCUACCAACAGAUGAAGCUGACUUCCGGGUGGUAGAGCCAACCUUCGAUGGAUCAAAACUUAUGCACUGAGUGCUUAGAAACUAUAUAGCCCAACCGGGAUACUAACACUUACAACAACAAUCAUUUAUUACAAUAAAAUAACAAUACACAACAUCCUCUCUUUGCUGGCUAGACUCACCCUUUUAUCACUCUCACACUACUAUUUUAUUACCAUGUCUAGACUAAUCCAAGGUAAAUAUCUUCUUUUUACAUGAUGGAGAACACUCUAGAAGGUUGCCUUGCUUUUCUUUCAACAGAUUCUUUUAAUUCAUGUAUCAAUCUUUGUUGGAGUUACGUCUCGUGGUGGUCGGAGCACUUUUCCUUUGUGAGCUAUAUAUAAGAGCACUCUCCUCCAUGUUAAUGGUGCCAACAACAUCGGUACGUACUUAGACUUAAUGAGACUUAAUACUUACCUAUGACUGACUUUAGUUCUCACCAUAAUGGUGGCUCGGGCGGUGAGAGAUGGUGUGAAAGGGAAC
This 605-nucleotide long non-coding RNA is filed under the name Setaria viridis. RNAcentral's name for it is "long non-coding RNA (SVIR_LNC011008)". Lineage: Eukaryota; Viridiplantae; Streptophyta; Magnoliopsida; Poales; Poaceae. The record is from RNAcentral.